RNAcentral lists this ribosomal RNA (497 nucleotides) under uncultured bacterium. RNAcentral's name for it is "partial 16S ribosomal RNA". It matches the Rfam family "Bacterial small subunit ribosomal RNA", at positions 28 to 507 of the family's 1533-position model. The record is from RNAcentral.
GAUGAACGCUGGCGGCGUGCCUAAUACAUGCAAGUCGAGCGAACAGACGAGGAGCUUGCUCCUCUGACGUUAGCGGCGGACGGGUGAGUAACACGUGGAUAACCUUCCUAUAAGACUGGGAUAACUUCGGGAAACCGGAGCUAAUACCGGAUAAUAUAUUGAACCGCAUGGUUCAAUAGUGAAAGACGGUUUUGCUGUCACUUAUAGAUGGAUCCGCGCGGCAUUAGCUAGUUGGUAAGGUAACGGCUUACCAAGGCAACGAUGCGUAGCCGACCUGAGAGGGUGAUCGGCCACACUGGAACUGAGACACGGUCCAGACUCCUACGGGAGGCAGCAGUAGGGAAUCUUCCGCAAUGGGCGAAAGCUUGACGGAGCAACGCCGCGUGAGUGAUGAAGGUCUUCGGAUCGUAAAACUCUGUUAUUAGGGAAGAACAAAUGUGUAAGUAACUAUGCACGUCUUGACGGUACCUAAUCAGAAAGCCACGGCUAACUACGUG